CGACGCCAUACUCUGUUGAAAGUGCCGCUACACAAAAGAAGCAAUCAUGGACAUGUCAUCCAAUGAGCAUGACAAUUACGAACAAAGCAGUCCGAAUGAUAGGUAUGGUGGAACUACGGAACGUUACAACCAGGACAACGAUAGGUCACCAGAAAGAUCACGGUCACGUUCUCCCCUUAGACGCUCAGGGUCGAGAUCACCAAGAAGAGACAGCAGGGACAGACCAAGACGCAUUAAUCUCAUUUCCAAACGUUGCAUCAUCAGCAAUGUUCCUUAUGAAAUGAAGUGGCAGGACAUCAAAGAUAUAUUCAGAAAAGAAGUUGGAGAAGUGUCUUAUGUAGAAAUGUGGGAGAACCCAGACGGAAAGUCCAGAGGAGCAGGUAUAAUCGAGUUCAAGGAUAAAGACACAGCAAGGAAAGCAAUUGAAGUAAUGCACCGGUACAAGAUGAAGGACAGGAACAUCGUCGUAAGAGAGGAGAGGGAGAGUGACCAGAACCAAAUAGGAGCAGCAAGAGGAGGCAGUGGUGGAGGGGGUGGCUCAGGCAUGAUGGGCAGUGGGCCAGGAAUGAUGGGAAACAUGGGUGGAGGCAUGAUGGGAAAUAUGGGAGGUGGCGGAGGAAACAUGGGUGUGAGCCAGCAAGUUCUGAACAACUUGGGAAUCGAAGGACCCGUCACCAAUACACUGUUUGUGUCCAACCUAGACUACAAGGUUACCUGGAAGAAAAUGAAAGAUGUAUUCAAACUGGCUGGAAAUGUACUGAGGGCAGAGAUUAAGCUUGACAAGGAUGGGAAGAGCCGAGGAAUAGGAACUGUGGUGUUCGAGUUCCCAAUGGAAGCUCUUCAAGCUAUCUCUAUGUUUAACAACCAGACUUUAUUUGACCGACCAAUGAGAGUGAAGAUGGACACUCCACCAGGUGGUUCUUCUGGCGGCAGAUCAUCUCAACAAGUUCAGCUGCCAAGUGGACUGAAGUCUGUAGGAAUGGGUCUUGGUGCAGGCGGACAGCCACUCCAGAAUAUUGGACAGAUGAGUUCCGGGGGUGGUUUUGGAAUGGGCGGGGGGUCCAUGGGGAUGAGUGGCAAUAAUAUGGGUAUGGGUGGUGGUAACAUGGGUAUGGGUGGUGGUAUGGGAAUGGGAGGUGGCAUGGAUAAUAAUAUGGUUGGUAUGGGAGGCAGCAUGGGCACUGGGAUGUCUGGGAUGGGUGGUAUGGGCUCAAAUAUGGGAAUGUCUGGAAACAUGGGGUCAGGCAUGAGUAGUAACAUGGGAAUGGGCAUGGGCACAGGCAUGGGUGGCACUGGUAACCUAGGCUCCAACAUGGGUAUGUCCGGUGGCAUGAAUGACAACUUCUCCAGCAGCAUGGUGUCUGGAGGCAUGGGCAACACUGGAUAUGGUACCAACACUGGUAUGGGCACAAACCUAGGGGAUCAGCUUCGCAACAUGGGCAGCAAUAUGGGAAGCAGUAGUUACAACACCGGCAUGAUGGAUUCUAUGGGCAGUUCCUCAGGCAAUAUUGGCAGCAAUAGCUACAAUUCAAUGGGUAGCUCCUUCAGCUCUUCUGACCGAUCCAGUCAGCGGGACCGUGACCGCAGUGGAGACAGAGGUGAUCGUGGGGGUAGGAACUUGGGCACUCGGCCAGACAACUGUACAGUGGUCGUGAAAAAUCUUCCCUGGUCACUCACAUGGCAAUCUCUGAGAGACAAAUUUAGGACAUGUGCUGAUGUGAAGUAUGCCGAAAUUAAGAUGGAGAAUGGUAAAUCUCAAGGCUGGGGACUCGUUAGAUUUGGCUCCGCUGAAGAUGCUCAAAGAGCAAUCUCUGCUAUGAACCGGACCCGAGUAGACGGACGGGAAAUUGAUGUGAAGCUCUACCGCUAAAUGACGGCAUUACUCUGACAGGAGUCCUGUAUUUAUGAUGAUGUGCCUGGAGGUCGGAUAAGGACGUCCCCUACAGCAGCACUAACAGAAGAUUACCUACAGUGAACUUGUCUUUUAUGAUGUGAUCUACCCAGUGUUUCAUCACAACAAGACUGCAAAUACAGUACAUACAAGUCAUUGAACCACAUGGUUUUCUGAAUCGGUUGGACCAAGAAGGAUUCAUGAGGGGCCUUUGAAUGGUGGACCAGUUGGAAUAUUAAAAAUAUGUCUUGUAAUUAGACAAAAAUGCUGAAAAAAUCAGCUGAUAAACAUUUAGACCUUGUACUAGGUGCCUUAUGGAAAACAUGAUGAACAUUUAGACAUUGCAAUAAGUUGUGGUGGAUACCAUCUUGGAUGUUUUUGCAUUGUACCAGGUGUCUCAUGGGAAAGGUGAUUAACAUUGUACUAAUGGUCUUGUGGAAGAAAGAUUAAUUUAUGUAUUGGCAGUAUAAAUUUUGUCCAGAACAAUUAUAGCAUGAAGAGUUGUCAAAACGUUCAUAAAUCU
Ylistrum balloti is the source of this 2414-nucleotide RNA transcript. It is a transcript of the gene named myelin expression factor 2-like, with no coding region annotated. The transcript has 15 exons. NCBI's taxonomy places the organism in Eukaryota, Metazoa, Mollusca, Bivalvia, Pectinida, Pectinidae. The record is from RefSeq and is a predicted model, not a curated record.